AAAAACAACCUGACAACACACCAUCAUCAUCACAGUCAAAACACAGCUCAGGUAGCAGAAGAAACACACUUACAAUCAACAUGAAUUGUUGUUCUUGUACAAUAUGACGUUUUUUAACUUUAGCAUUUACUAAAGGAGGCACAUACAUGACCAACAGGCCAGUGUCCCAAAUUGAAUCCUAUCCCCUCUGUCAUGCACUACUAUUGACCGGGGCCCAUAAGGUAAAGGGGACACCACUAUGGGCCCUGGUCAACAGUAGUGCACCCUUUACCCUCAACACUACUGUUGACCAGGGCCCAUAGGGUGAAGGGGACACUACUGUUAACCAGGGCCCAUAGGGUGAAGGGGACACUACUGUUAACCAGGGCCCAUAGGAUAAAGAGGACACUACUGUUGACCAGGGCCCAUAGGGUAAAGGGGACACUACUGUUAACCAGGGCCCAUAGGGUAAAGGCCGCCCUCUGGGACACAGUCAUUGUAUUAUCUAAUGUGGUCUGGAUAAUCAUAUCUGGAUAACCUCAUUGGACUAGACCAGGUUAUCCAGAUAUGAGACACUUCAUAAUAACUCUGAAUCAAUAUUAGUAAACAAUAAACAAGGCUGAAAACAAACAAUCAGUAGGACCAACAGCCUUCUUCAAGAGGAGGUUCAGGGCCAGUUUUAGGUCCAACAGCCUUCUUCAAGAGGAGGUUCAGGGCCAGUUUUAGGUCCAACAGUAGCCAGCAUCAAGAGGAGGUUCAUGGCCAGUUUUAGGACAAACAGCCUUCUUCAAGAGGAGGUUCAGGGCCAGUUUUAGGUCCAACAGUAGCCAGCAUCAAGAGGUUCAUGGCCAGUUUUAGGACCAACAGUAUCCUGCUUCAGGAGGUGGUUCAGGGCCAGUUUUAGGACCAGUAGGACCAACAGUAUCCUACUUCAGGAGGUGGUUCAGGGCCAGUUUUAGGACCAGUAGGUCCAACAGUAUCCUGCUUCAGGAGGAGGUUCAGGGCCAGUUUUAGGACCAGUAGGACCAACAGUAUCCUGCUUCAGGAGGUGGUUCAUUGCCAGUUUUAGGACCAAUAGUAUCCUGCUUCAGGAGGUGGUUCAGGGCCAGUUUUAGGACCAACAGUAUACUGCUUAAGGAGGUGGUUCAUUGCCAGUUUUAGGACCAUUAGUAUCCUGCUUCAGGUGGUUCAGGGCCAGUUUUAGGACCAGUAGGGCCAACGGGCCAGCUUCAGGAGGAGGUUCAGGGACAGUUUUAGGACCAGUAUGGCCAACGGCCUGCUUCAAGAGGAGCUUCAGGGCCAGUUUUAGGUCCAACAGUAGCCUGCUUCAGGAGGAGGUUCAGGGCCAGUUUUAGGACCAGUAGGACCAACAGUAUCCUGCUUCAGGAGGAGGUUCAGGGCCAGUUUUAGGGCCAACAGUAUCCUGCUUCAGGAGGUGGUUCAGGGCCAGUUUUAGGACCAACAGUAUCCUGCUUCAGGAGGAGGUUCAGGGCCAGUUUUAGGACCAGUAGGACCAACAGUAUCCUGCUUCAGGAGGAGGUUCAGGGCCAGUUUUAGGACCAGUAGGACCAACAGUAUCCUGCUUCAGGAGGAGGUUCAGGGCCAGUUUUAGGGCCAACAGUAUCCUGCUUCAGGAGGUGGUUCAGGGCCAGUUUUAGGACCAAUAGUAUCCUGCUUCAGGAGGAGGUUCAGGGCCAGUUUUAGAACCAGUAGGACCAACAGUAUCCUGCUUCAGGAGGUGGUUCAUUGCCAGUUUUAGAACCAGUAGGACCAACAGUAUCCUGCUUCAGGAGGUGGUUCAUUGCCAGUUUUAGAACCAGUAGGACCAACAGUAUCCUGCUUCAGGAGGUGGUUCAGGGCCAGUUUUAGGACCAACAGUAUCCUGCUUCAGGAGGUGGUUCAGGACCAGUUUUAGGACCAACAGUGUCCUGCUUCAGGAGGUGGUUCAGGGCCAGUUUUAGGACCAACAGUAUCCUGCUUCAGGAGGUGGUUCAGGGCCAGUUUUAGGACCAGUAGGACCAACAGUAUCCUGCUUCAGGAGGAGGUUCAGGGCCAGUUUUAGGACCAGUAGGUCCAACAGUAUCCUGCUUCAGGAGAUGGUUCAGGGCACCUUCUCAGUAGUAGUGGAGUGGAUCAGUUUCUGGGGGGGGCGUCUUAACAUGGCUCCUCUGGCUCUGUGGAGCUUGGCUGGUUACGGGUAGACCCCCAGACUGGGGCUCUGGGUGGUGAUAGGGGGCUGGAGAGGGGCGGAGGUGGCUGGGGCAAGCCCAGACUGGGGCUCUGGGUGGUGAUAGGGGGCUGGAAAGGGGCGGAGGUGGCUGGGGCAAGCCCAGACUGGGGCUCUGGGUGGUGAUAGGGGGCUGGAGAGGGGCGGAGGUGGCAAGCCCAGACUGGGGCUCUGGGUGGUGAUAGGGGGGCGGAGGUGGCUGGGGCAAGCCCAGACUGGGGCUCUGGGUGGUGAUAGGGGGCUGGAGAGGGGCGGAGGUGGCUGGGGCAAGCCCAGACUGGGGCUCUGGGUGGUGGUAGGGGGGCUGGAGAGGGGCAGAGGUGGCUGGGGCAAGCCCGGGCUGUUUUUUUUUUGGGGGCCUUUGGAAGAGACAGUCUGUUUCUGCCUAUCAGGUGGAACCCUGUUCCCUACAUAGUGCAGUACUUCUGACCAGAGACCCAUAGAGUUAGUUCCCACACAAAGCCAGUUGAUGAAGUGGACCAAGGAGAUGACAACAUUGACAUUGUUCUGUGAUGUCAGGUCCAGGUGUGAAGGACCCCACAGGGCUCUGGUCACAAGUAG
Molecule: long non-coding RNA, 2767 nt
Organism: Oncorhynchus tshawytscha (Chinook salmon)
Lineage: Eukaryota; Metazoa; Chordata; Actinopteri; Salmoniformes; Salmonidae
Source: Ensembl